UGUGGGAUGCAGAAGGUAGAAGGUCUGGCUCUGUAAUUGCUUCCCUGCUGAACAUGGGCGUUGGCAGGUCGAUCCAUACUCCCAGCCUGUCUCUCUCUUUCCCUAAUGGGGUAGGAAUCUGUUCUGGGAAGUCAGAUUGACAUCAUGGUAUCAUCUGGAACCUGGUGGCUGAAAAAGAGUUAAGAUAGCAAGCAGAGAAAACUGUUCUAAUCAUACAAAGAGAUGUAUGUUUAAGGGGCUGAGUAAUGGUUAUCUGGUUGAGUGCACACAUUACAGUGUAUAUCAAUCCCUUGGCCUCUACUUGCAGGGAGAAGCUUCAUCAUGAUUUCUUUUUUUUUUUUUUUUUUUUUGCAUAGAUAUGAAGAGUCUUAUUUUUUUUUGGGGGGGGGAUAGUGAUUUAUAGGACAUUUGUUUAUUCAUGUGUGUGGUUCCUCAGUUUUGUAUAGCAGGAUUUUGCUACAUGCUUUUAACCCCCCCAUCAAGGACUCCAAAUACCCCCCACCCCCUUUUCUAUUCUCUCCCCAGAGUCCCUUGCUUUGGUUCAGUGCCUCAUCCCCAGUCCAGGGAGAAGCUUCAUGAGUGGUGAAAUAGUGCUGCAGGUAUCUCUAUCAUUCUCACCCACAUUGAGAAAUUAUUACUUCCAUACAGGAGUUUUUAAAGUGCCUAAGUAAUUGUUCUGGGUUUGCCUUUGAUCCAUGAUCUUGAAUGUCAUUAAUAAGCUCGCAGAAAGUGUGUGUGUGUGUGGAUCUUAAAUUCACAUUUGGCAGAGCAGUGGAAGGCUGGAUGCUUUUAAAAUAGUUUGGCUCAGAAAGCACAUCUGAAAUAACCCUGUGGGAAAAUCAAGAGAAUUUCUCAGCCUCCAAAGGAUUACCUAGGAUGAGUUGCUGACCUCGCAUGUUAGAAUUCAGUUAUAUUUCUUAAAACCUCAUUCACUAUCCAGCCUAAUUUAUUUCAGGGGUUGAAGUCAGCUGUAGGAGGGAACUCUGGUGAUGUACAGUUUUUAAGUCCCCCCCCAUUUCUAAAAGCUUCAAAAGAUUAUGACAUUUAUGUAUGUGUAUCUCAGUGUGUGUGUGCAUGUGUGUGUGUGUUUCUUUAAAAAAACAAAAAAGCAUCUUCAUAAGAUUUACUCCAGCUUUACUCUCAGAAACAAGAGCUGAAGAAUUCUCUCCUGUUCAGGCUUCUAAGGCGCUUAAACCCCAGAAGGCUGAGUGUGCAGAGUGAACAGAGCGCUGACCUUUGUGAGGGAAAGGUCAGUUCAGCACAGAAGACUCAAAAAGGAGGAAGAAAAAGCAACUCCUCAGCAGGGAGUUUGACUUGCUUUAGGGUAGAAGAGCUUUUAUAAAUAAGUUCCCAGUCUCCCACGCCCUCUUGCUGGCUGGCUUUUCUAUUACUAGUCUUGUCUUUGCUGCGCGCGCGCGCGCACACACACACACACACACACACACACACACACACACACACACACACACACCUCUCUUAUUUCCACUCACGGUCUCACAUCCUCUUUCUCCACCUGAUCCUGGAUCUAUGAGUUGGAUGGGCAGACCCUUCGCUGGAAGAGGCAGUGAAAGCCAAAAUAGGGCUAGGAGAUAGCUCACCUGGUAGAGUUUAGCAUGCACAAGGACCUUACACCACAGGAAAACACCUUAUACAAGGAGAAGUCUCUUAAGCAGUGGAGCAUUGCUGCAGUGUCUUCUCCUCUUUCUGUUUCUUUCCCUUUCUGUUUCUGUGAAUGAAAUGAGAAAUAAAAGAGUCCACCAAACCACUUUCAGGGAAGAAGCCACAUAAGUCUUCUGCUACAGGUUUCAUAAGACUGGAAUCAAGUUGUCAGCCAGGCUUUAUCCUCAACUGGCAGCUCAACGAGUGAAAAUUCCACUUCAUGCUUCCUCAAGUUGUUGGCAGAAUGCAGUUCCUGGCAGCUAUAAGAUUAAGGACCCUCUGUCAUGCUGAUAUAUUGGCUGGAGAUUAAGCUCAGCUCCCAGAAAAUGUCCUUAGGUCCUUUUUACAUUUUGCCCCCUCAGUUUCAUUUACAGACAAACAUCCCUUAGAUAGAAUUUUUGAAAAAAAAAUUAUUAUCUCUUACUUUGGUGAUCCUAAAGAAAAUCCUAAAUUUCUAAAUGAUUUUAUUCAGUAUUGCACUGUAAUAUUUUUAAAACUCUAUCAGUAUAUCAGCAUCUGUAAUACUGUAUUAAACUCUAUUAGUAUAUCAACAUCUGUACAUACUGCAUUAAGUUCACCAGUAAAAGCCCAUCUACGCUU
This is a long non-coding RNA of Erinaceus europaeus (western European hedgehog), 2259 nucleotides long. RefSeq lists it as uncharacterized. NCBI's taxonomy places the organism in Eukaryota, Metazoa, Chordata, Mammalia, Eulipotyphla, Erinaceidae. The transcript has 3 exons. The record is from RefSeq and is a predicted model, not a curated record.